RNAcentral lists this ribosomal RNA (407 nucleotides) under Verrucomicrobiota bacterium. RNAcentral's name for it is "Verrucomicrobia bacterium partial 16S ribosomal RNA". It matches the Rfam family "Bacterial small subunit ribosomal RNA", at positions 355 to 776 of the family's 1533-position model. Lineage: Bacteria; Pseudomonadati; Verrucomicrobiota. The record is from RNAcentral.
UGGGGAAUAUUGGACAAUGGAGGAAACUCUGAUCCAGCAAUUCUGUGUGUGUGAAGAAGGUUUUAGGACUGUAAAACACUUUUAGUAGGGAAGAAAAAAAUGACGGUACCUACAGAAGAAGCAACGGCUAAAUACGUGCCAGCAGCCGCGGUAAUACGUAUGUUGCGAGCGUUAUCCGGAAUUAUUGGGCUUAAAGGGCAUCUAGGCGGUAAGACAAGUUGAAGGUGAAAACCUGUGGCUCAACCAUAGGCUUGCCUACAAAACUGUUGAACUAGAGUACUGGAAAGGUGGGUGGAACUACACGAGUAGAGGUGAAAUUCGUAGAUAUGUGUAGGAAUGCCGAUGAUGAAGAUAACUCACUGGACAGAAACUGACGCUGAAGUGCGAAAGCUAAGGGAGCAAACAGG